This 204-nucleotide long non-coding RNA is filed under the name Canis lupus familiaris (dog). RNAcentral describes it as "lncRNA (ENSCAFG00000055282.1)". The record is from RNAcentral. Lineage: Eukaryota; Metazoa; Chordata; Mammalia; Carnivora; Canidae.
ACUUAGAAUAAGAAGAUAACUGUUAUGACUGACAAUGCUGCACUUGCUACACUUUGCCUCAGAUUUCUACAGGUAUCUUUCCAUCAUUCAAGCUUGAGAACCUGACCCAAACAAUUUCCUAAAGAAGCAUAGCUACUUAAAUUCUUUGCCUGAAGACAGUGGCUUAGUUCGGAAAAAGUCUGUCACAAAUUUAUCCCUUUUUAC